GACGAACGCUGGCGGCGUGCCUAAUACAUGCAAGUAGGACGCAGUUGCGAACGGGUGAGUAACGCGUAGGUAACUACCUAUUAGAGGGGGAUAACUAUUGGAAACGAUAGCUAAUACCGCAUACUAGUAGAUGGAACUGCGUUGUAUUAGCUAGUAGGUAGGGUAAAGGCCUACCUAGGCAACGAUACAUAGCCGAGUCGGGAGGGUGAUCGGCCACACUGGGGCUGGGACCCUGCCCCGGCUCCUUCCGGAGGCAGCAGGUGGGAAACUUCGGAAAAGGGGGGAACCCUGGCCGAGCAACGCCGCGUGAGUGGAGAAGGUUUUCGGAUCGUAAAGCUCUGUUGUUAAGGAAGCGGUACUUAACCAGAAAGGGACGGCUAACUACGUGCCAGCAGCCGCGGUAAUUC
Molecule: ribosomal RNA, 407 nt
Filed under: uncultured bacterium
Lineage: Bacteria
Description: partial 16S ribosomal RNA
Rfam family: Bacterial small subunit ribosomal RNA
Source: RNAcentral